RNAcentral lists this ribosomal RNA (442 nucleotides) under uncultured bacterium. RNAcentral describes it as "partial 16S ribosomal RNA". It matches the Rfam family "Bacterial small subunit ribosomal RNA", at positions 338 to 795 of the family's 1533-position model. The record is from RNAcentral.
CCUACGGGUGGCAGCAGUAGGGAAUCUUUCACAAUGGGCGAAAGCCUGACGGAGCAACGCCGCGUGCAGGAUGAAGGCCUUCGGAUUGUAAACCGCUUUUAUAAGCGAGGAAUAUGCAGUUAACUUAUGAAUAAUGAACUGCUAAAUCCGUGCCAGAAGCCGCGGUCAUACGCGGGAGCCGAGAAUUUUACGGGGCGGCUGGGUGUAAAGAGUUGCGUAGGUGGUAUAGUAAGUAGACAGUGGAAAGUGCUGGCUAAACCAUGGGGACUGUUUGCGAAACUGUUAAGCUGGAGACUGUUAGAGGUAAGUGGAAUUUCAGGUGUAGGAGUGAAAUCCGUAGAUAUUAGAAGGAACACCAAUGGCGAAGGCAGCUUACUGGGACAGUUCUGACGCUGAGGCACGAAAGCGUAGGGAGCAAACAGGAUUAGAUACCCGAGUAGUC